UUAACGGCCGCAGUUAGUAGCUGUGCUAAGGUAGCGUAGUAAGUUGUCCUUUAAAUGGGGAAAGGAAUGAAUGGUUUGACGUGAGAAAAGCUGUCUCAAGUAAAAAAUAAGAAAUUUUCUUUUCGGUGAAAAGCCCGAAAUUUAAUUAAAAGACGAGAAGACCCUUUCGAGCUUGAUUAUAUUAUUAAAAAAUUAUUAAUAAAAGUUUAGUUGGGGCAACUCAGGAGCAAAUUAAGACUCCUAGAGGAUUAUAGGGAUCCAAAAAUUUUGAAAAGAGAAAAAGCUACCGUAGGGAUAACAGCGUUAUCUUUUCUGAGAGAACAUAUUGAAGAAAAG
RNAcentral lists this ribosomal RNA (336 nucleotides) under Ephippodonta lunata. RNAcentral's name for it is "partial 16S ribosomal RNA". It matches the Rfam family "Bacterial large subunit ribosomal RNA", at positions 1924 to 2515 of the family's 2925-position model. Lineage: Eukaryota; Metazoa; Mollusca; Bivalvia; Galeommatida; Galeommatidae. The record is from RNAcentral.